UAAGUCGAUGGUGAAAGCCUGCAGCUUAACUGUAGAAUUGCCAUUGGUACUGCUAUUCUUGAGUGCAGUUGAAGUAAGCGGAAUGUGUAAUGUAGCGGUGAAAUGCAUAGAUAUUACACAGAACACCAAUUGUGAAAACAGCUUACUAACCUGUAACUGACGCUGAGGCACGAAAGCGUGGGGAGCGAACAGGAUUAGAUACCCUGGUAGUCCACGCUGUAAACUAUGAUCACUCGCUGUUGGCGAUACACAGUCAGCGGCUAAGCGAAAGCAUUAAGUGAUCCACCUGGGGAGUACGUCCGCAAGGAUGAAACUCAAAGGAAUUGACGGGGGCCCGCACAAGCGGAGGAACAUGUGGUUUAAUUCGAUGAUACGCGAGGAACCUUACCUGGGCUUAAAUGCAGCUCGACGGACCGGGAAACUGGUCUUCCUUCGGGCGAACUGCAAGGUGCUGCAUGGUUGUCGUCAGCUCGUGCCGUGAGGUGUCGGGUUAAGUCCCAUAACGAGCGCAACCCCUAUUGUUAGUUACCAGCGAGUAAUGUCGGGGACUCUAACGAAACUGCCGGUGUAAACCGAGAGGAAGGUGGGGAUGACGUCAAAUCAGCACGGCCCUUAUGUCCAGGGCUACACACGUGUUACAAUGGCCAGUACAAAGGGCAGCUACCACGCGAGUGGAUGCUAAUCUCAAAAGCUGGUCUCAGUUCGGAUUGAAGUCUGCAACUCGACUUCAUGAAG
This 735-nucleotide ribosomal RNA is filed under the name uncultured Bacteroidota bacterium. RNAcentral describes it as "bacterial SSU rRNA". It matches the Rfam family "Bacterial small subunit ribosomal RNA", at positions 584 to 1325 of the family's 1533-position model. The record is from RNAcentral. Lineage: Bacteria; Pseudomonadati; Bacteroidota.